GUUAGCUAGUUACGUAGAUCGUGCAUGUGUCAGUAGAGAGAAGCGAGUCAGUAACUGACCUAGCGGCGGCCGGGUGAGUAAUACUUAGGAAUCUGCCUAUUAAUGGGGGCCAACAUCUCGAAAGGGAUGCUAAUACCGCAUACGCCCUACGGGGGAAAGCAGGGGAUCACUUGUGACCUUGCGUUAAUAGAUGAGCCUAAGUCGGAUUAGCUAGUUGGUGGGGUAAAGGCCUACCAAGGCGACGAUCUGUAGCGGGUCUGAGAGGAUGAUCCGCCACACUGGGACUGAGACACGGCCCAGACUCCUACGGGAGGCAGCAGUGGGGAAUAUUGGACAAUGGGGGGAACCCUGAUCCAGCCAUGCCGCGUGUGUGAAGAAGGCCUUAUGGUUGAAAAGCACUUUAACCGAGGAGGAGGAUCAUUUAGAUAAUACCCAAGAACGGAGGACGCAGAACGCAGAUUAAGAAACGCCGAACUCGUUGCAAUGAGCCGCAAAAAUACAGGGGGGUCGCAACCAUAAGYGGURAUCUUGAUUUCUAAAAAAGGCCCSCCGUGCACAGUCGUAUCAUCUGUGAAUUCUGCUAGGAAAGGAAUCCCUGAGGUGCCUCUCUAGUUAGCCAGCCUGAGGGAAAAAAUCUAAAAACGCCCCCAGUUCUCUAGUUACUCGGUGCCUC
RNAcentral lists this ribosomal RNA (673 nucleotides) under Acinetobacter sp. CKY4. RNAcentral's name for it is "bacterial SSU rRNA". The stretch from base 1 to 509 matches the Rfam family "Bacterial small subunit ribosomal RNA", at positions 42 to 535 of the family's 1533-position model. Lineage: Bacteria; Pseudomonadati; Pseudomonadota; Gammaproteobacteria; Moraxellales; Moraxellaceae. The record is from RNAcentral.